UACGUAGGGGGCAAGCGUUAUCCGGAAUUACUGGGUGUAAAGGGUGCGUAGGCGGCACGCCAAGCCAGUUGUGAAACCCGUAGGCUCAACCUACGGCUUGCAAUUGAAACUGGCGAGCUAGAGUACAGGAGAGGAAAGCGGAAUUCCUAGUGUAGCGGUGAAAUGCGUAGAUAUUAGGAAGAACACCGGUGGCGAAGGCGGCUUUCUGGACUGAAACUGACGCUGAGGCACGAAAGCGUGGGGAGCAAACAGG
RNAcentral lists this ribosomal RNA (253 nucleotides) under uncultured bacterium. RNAcentral's name for it is "partial 16S ribosomal RNA". It matches the Rfam family "Bacterial small subunit ribosomal RNA", at positions 524 to 776 of the family's 1533-position model. The record is from RNAcentral.